RNAcentral lists this ribosomal RNA (254 nucleotides) under uncultured bacterium. RNAcentral's name for it is "partial 16S ribosomal RNA". It matches the Rfam family "Bacterial small subunit ribosomal RNA", at positions 524 to 776 of the family's 1533-position model. The record is from RNAcentral.
UACGGGGGAUGCAAGCGUUUUCCGGAUUUAUUGGGUUUAAAGGGUGCGUAGGCUGUGAGGUAAGUCAGCGGUGAAAUGCCCCCGCUCAACGGGGUGAAGUGCCAUUGAUACUGCCUUGCUGGAAUGCGGAUGCCGUGGGAGGAAUGUGUGGUGUAGCGGUGAAAUGCAUAGAUAUCACACAGAACACCGAUUGCGAAGGCAUCUCACGAAUCCGCUAUUGACGCUGAUGCACGAAAGCGGGGGUAUCAAACAGG